This is a long non-coding RNA of Papaver somniferum (opium poppy), 1843 nucleotides long. RefSeq lists it as uncharacterized. The record is from RefSeq and is a predicted model, not a curated record. NCBI's taxonomy places the organism in Eukaryota, Viridiplantae, Streptophyta, Magnoliopsida, Ranunculales, Papaveraceae. The transcript has 2 exons.
GUGUCAAAAAGAAAAUUACGCCAUCCGUUUGCACUCUCAUCCGCAAGCGGCAGGCGGCUUGCAUCUAUGAAAACACCAUUUACAUACUCAGGCUCAGCAUCAAAUACUACUUCCGCCUCCAAAUACUCGCACCCUAGCCCCUAGCCCCAGCAACCUUUUCUGUUUCUCCCCCAAACCCCUUCACUUCUGCUUCUGUCUGCUUAAAAAAAAAAUAUUUCUCUUUCAAUUCCGUCUUCAUUUGUCUACCCAGUUGCUUAUCUCGAUCUCUCUAUCUCACAACACCACUGUCUAAACCUCUCUCAACAAUUACUUUCUACAACCAAACCUUAUCGUAACUGUCCCACAAUCGGUCUAUGUUUCUAGGGUUAUCUACAAUUUGAACACAGUGAAGAAACUAGGGUGUCUGAAGUUCUCUGUUACAUUAAGGGUGGUCAAAAACAAUGAAUACUAUGCAAUUGUGGUCGAGAAAUAGCUGUAAUUCUUCGAAGUGAUGGUUUUAAUUUGUCGCUGCAAACGAUUGAAAAAGGGGAAAAUAAAUGAGAGAGGCAAUAACAGUGAGUUGGUUUUGGUUUUUGUUGAAUUACAAUCCAGUUUUGAGGAAAGUGGUGUAUACACAGUAAUGGGUUUGUGAUGUAGAAGGCAUGCCCAGCCGGUGCACCAAGCCGUAAUUUAGGUUUAGUUUCAGCGUUUGUUCUUUAUCAUGUUUUAGCUUAUAGAUAGGGCUUAGAUGAAGCCCUUAAGCUACUACUACUUUGUUAUGUGUUAAUGAUAUCGUUGUUGUUUUGCUUAAUUGAAUAUAGAUCGGUUCAAUUUUUGUGUUGCAACAUACAACUUUCACCAUGUUUGUCCUGCAACCUAGGUAGUUAGAACACUUCUAUGUUGUGCUUCAACUCAUGCUUAAUUGAUUCAAUUAAUAUGUGAUUAGUUGUGGUGUAAAAAGACAACUAAUGCUAGGGAAUGAUACCUUAGUUGAUAACUUGAUAUUGAACCAUCCACCUGACCUGAGGUUACCUUGGACACGCGACAGACUCAAGUAACAAGAAUAGUUUAAUAGCUGAAUUUCUUAGUGUAGGUUAUGUGGUGAAUUCGAUAUCUCUAGUGGCCCUUUAUCAGUUUUUAAAUCCUAUUUACAUUAUGUUUUCAAGUUGUACUUCAUAACAUUCGUUUAGUCGUAUCGACAAACCCCUUUAAUCUGAAUUAGUAUAGCAAGGCUCUGAAUUCAACUUCACACCAACCAAGUCUAUGUGGAAUCGACAUAUGAUUCUGGAUAAGUAUAUGAGAUUGAGCUAUGUGGGGCUUGAUUUUUAAGCUGGUGCUUAUACUUUUUAGAGCUUUUAUUAGCAAUACAACAGGUCAGACGCAUGAAUCCCUUAAACACGAGGUUAAGAAAGAAGGUAGCUUAACUUUAAUAAAAUUCGUCACAUGAAGUAGUGAAGCUGAGACGAGAAGAGUAGGAGCGGAAACAGAAAGAAGUCAGGAUCACUCUCAGUUGGACCAUCUGCUCUAUCUGAGAACAAACGCUAUCCAAGUCUGAAAAGGAGUCUUCGCCUGUUGCACAAAAUAAGCUUCAGAUUUUGGCUGGACAAGAUUAUGUUGAACUUGAAAGUUCUACAGCGAAUAUUAGGAAGCUUGUGGAGGCUUUGACAGAGAUUCUGAUCUGUGGUUGUUUUUCUCAAGUGAAGUCCAUUGAUUGAGUAUAUUCGUAUUCUUUGAUUCUAUCAACGGGUUUAUGGGUUUUUCAUAUUUUGUUCCUUGAUUGCAGACUAAUCACUAGAUUACCGUGUGCGGUGGGGGGCGGACCGAAGAAAAAGAAAUACACAGCUGAAUCCAACACAAGUGAUAC